GGCUGGAUGGCGCAAUCUGGUUAGCGCGCAUGAUUCCAAAUCAUGAGGUUGGGGGUUCGAGUCCCUCUCCGGUCA
Molecule: non-coding RNA, 75 nt
Organism: Raphidocelis subcapitata
Lineage: Eukaryota; Viridiplantae; Chlorophyta; Chlorophyceae; Sphaeropleales; Selenastraceae
Source: the annotation of a GenBank genome assembly